GGACGCCAGUCUGCAUGGAGCCGACCUUGAAAUACCACCCUUUAAUGUUUGAUGUUCUAACGUGGACCCGUUACCCGGGUUGCGGACAGUGUCUGGUGGGUAGUUUGACUGGGGCGGUCUCCUCCUAAAGAGUAACGGAGGAGCACGAAGGUUGGCUAAUCCUGGUCGGACAUCAGGAGGUUAGUGCAAUGGCAUAAGCCAGCUUGACUGCGAGCGUGACGGCGCGAGCAGGUGCGAAAGCAGGUCAUAGUGAUCCGGUGGUUCUGAAUGGAAGGGCCAUCGCUCAACGGAUAAAAGGUACUCCGGGGAUAACAGGCUGAUACCGCCCAAGAGUUCAUAUCGACGGCGGUGUUUGGCACCUCGAUGUCGGCUCAUCACAUCCUGGGGCUGAAGUAGGUCCCAAGGGUAUGGCUGUUCGCCAUUUAAAGUGGUACGCGAGCUGGGUUUAGAACGUCGUGAGACAGUUCGGUCCCUAUCUGCCGUGGGCGCUGGAGAACUGAGGGGGGCUGCUCCUAGUACGAGAGGACCGGAGUGGACGCAUCACUGGUGUUCGGGUUGUCAUGCCAAUGGCACUGCCCGGUAGCUAAAUGCGGAAGAGA
This 599-nucleotide ribosomal RNA is filed under the name Salmonella enterica. RNAcentral describes it as "partial 23S ribosomal RNA". It matches the Rfam family "Bacterial large subunit ribosomal RNA", at positions 2166 to 2764 of the family's 2925-position model. RNAcentral also lists the same sequence under 1 other name. The record is from RNAcentral. Lineage: Bacteria; Pseudomonadati; Pseudomonadota; Gammaproteobacteria; Enterobacterales; Enterobacteriaceae.